RNAcentral lists this ribosomal RNA (992 nucleotides) under Oribacterium sinus F0268. Its description in RNAcentral is "16S ribosomal RNA". Lineage: Bacteria; Bacillati; Bacillota; Clostridia; Lachnospirales; Lachnospiraceae. The record is from RNAcentral.
UUAUAAAAUUGUAUCGUUCUAAAAGAACAGCCCUCAAUCGUUUUAGCUUCAAGAAACAUUUUCAUAUAUUCCUUAUUCGAAGUAUUCUUUCUAACUUCUGUCUUUUUCGAAAAUGUUUUUAGCAUUACCUCCUGUAACUUCUUCAUCUGAGGAAUUGAUAAGUAUUCAUACAUUUCAUUUAGGAUAGUAACAAUUUUUUCUUCCAUGCUGGUAUCUCCUUUCGUGAUACCAGUAUCCUACAACUAUUGCUUGGCUAUCCAAAAUAUUCUUGCAUUAAACUAUCGAAAAGUGUUUGAGCUUCAUCCAAUGCUUUCUGAACAACAACUUUUGAUUUGUUGACUUGCUGGACAAAAAUACCAAAUUUAUCCUGAAGAUCCUUUGAUGCUAUUUUUAUAGGCAUCUGAGCUAACGAUUUCGCUCCAACAUUUUGUUGAGCAACCCCGACUUUUUCUGAAUCAAUAAAUCUCUUACCUAAAUCAGAGUUAAUAUAACUACAAACAUAAUUUGCGUUGUGAUUUAUUUUAAGCCUAACAAUCAAAGUAGUAAAUGUCUGACAUCCUUCGUAUUUCUUGGGAACUAAGCAUGCAAUACCAGGAUACCCAGUCCUCAUUGCAAUGAUGUCAUUUUCUUUUAACUUCUUUGAUUUAUAUUUUUCAGCAAAUUCAGGUGUAAUAUAAAUCAAAUCAGAAUCGUCAAGAUAAUUUUCUUUAAUAUUCUGGUUUCUAAGCAUUGGAACUCCAGUUGCUGCAUAAGCAUGUGUUGCAGAGUUGGCAAUUCCAACAGUUAUAAACUCUGAUAUUUCACCUAGCAUUUGUUCUUCUUUAAUCGAACCAAACAUCUCGACAAAUCGGGCUUUGAUUAAUUUGUCUAAAGCUACUAAUUCCGUUUGACGAUAAAAAAUGAUACUCUGAAUGAGUCUAAUUCUUCUUAUUAUCUUCAUUCUGACUUUAUAAUCAUAAACAGGUAAUUCUAAAGAAGAAAUAUGUUCAGUU